RNAcentral lists this RNase P RNA (398 nucleotides) under bacterium. RNAcentral's name for it is "RNase P RNA component class A". It matches the Rfam family "Bacterial RNase P class A". From Rfam's summary of the family: Ribonuclease P (RNase P) is a ubiquitous endoribonuclease, found in archaea, bacteria and eukarya as well as chloroplasts and mitochondria. Its best characterised activity is the generation of mature 5'-ends of tRNAs by cleaving the 5'-leader elements of precursor-tRNAs. The record is from RNAcentral.
GGACCCUGGUUAGACGAUCGCCCUCGGCAUAGUCGAAGGGAGGAAAGUCCGAACACGCGCCCGUAAAGGGCAGCCAGGUAGCGGGUAACACCCGCACGGAGCAAUCCGCGAGGUGCGAACAGAGACGAAUUUCUUCGAAAGAAGAAAUUCGUCCCGAGCGAAAGCGAGGGACGAGCCGUACAGUAAUGUAUGGUAUGCAACGGCAAAAUCCUUACUUGCGUGCAAGGCCGUGUCCCUGGGCUAAAACAUUUCGCAACGAAAUGUUCGCCCGAACAUGCGAAGCAUGUUUUAGGGAAGCGCCGCUCGAGUCCCGAGGCAACGAGGGACCCAGAUAGAUGAUCGUCCUUGUCUGCCACAGGCAGGCUCGACAGAAUUCGGCUUAUCGACCAGGUCCACAA